UGGGGAAUAUUGGACAAUGGGCGCAAGCCUGAUCCAGCAAUGCCGCGUGAGUGAUGAAGGCCUUAGGGUUGUAAAGCUCUUUCGCACGCGACGAUGAUGACGGUAGCGUGAGAAGAAGCCCCGGCUAACUUCGUGCCAGCAGCCGCGGUAAUACGAAGGGGGCUAGCGUUGUUCGGAAUUACUGGGCGUAAAGGGCGCGUAGGCGGCCUGUUUAGUCAGAAGUGAAAGCCCCGGGCUCAACCUGGGAAUAGCUUUUGAUACUGGCAGGCUUGAGUUCCGGAGAGGAUGGUGGAAUUCCCAGUGUAGAGGUGAAAUUCGUAGAUAUUGGGAAGAACACCGGUGGCGAAGGCGGCCAUCUGGACGGACACUGACGCUGAGGCGCGAAAAGCGUGGGGAGCAAACAGGAUUAGAUACCCUGGUAGUCCACGCCGUAAAACGAUGAAUGCUAGACGUCGGGGUGCAUGCACUUCGGUGUCGCCGCUAACGCAUU
RNAcentral lists this ribosomal RNA (490 nucleotides) under uncultured bacterium. RNAcentral's name for it is "partial 16S ribosomal RNA". It matches the Rfam family "Bacterial small subunit ribosomal RNA", at positions 355 to 861 of the family's 1533-position model. The record is from RNAcentral.